This 75-nucleotide transfer RNA is filed under the name Kiritimatiellia bacterium. RNAcentral's name for it is "Kiritimatiellae bacterium (gut metagenome) tRNA-Glu". Lineage: Bacteria; Pseudomonadati; Kiritimatiellota; Kiritimatiellia. The record is from RNAcentral.
GCCCCCUUCGUCUAUCGGCUAGGACACCAGGUUCUCAUCCUGGGAAGAGCGGUCCGACUCCGCUAGGGGGUGCCA